Molecule: ribosomal RNA, 477 nt
Filed under: uncultured Candidatus Brocadia sp.
Lineage: Bacteria; Pseudomonadati; Planctomycetota; Candidatus Brocadiia; Candidatus Brocadiales; Candidatus Brocadiaceae
Description: bacterial SSU rRNA
Rfam family: Bacterial small subunit ribosomal RNA
Source: RNAcentral
UUCGCAAUGCCCGAAAGGGUGACGAAGCGACGCCGCGUGCGGGAGGAAGGCCCUCGGGUUGUAAACCGCUGUCGGGAGUUAAGAAAUGCAAGAAUGUUAAUAGCGUUCUUGCUUGACUAAGGCUCCGGAGGAAGCCACGGCUAACUCUGUGCCAGCAGCCGCGGUAAUACAGAGGCGGCAAGCGUUGUUCGGAAUUAUUGGGCGUAAAGAGCACGUAGGCGGCUGUGUAAGUCGGUUGUGAAAGCCUUCCGCUCAACGGAAGAACGGCAUCCGAUACUGCAUAGCUUGAGUACGGGAGGGGAGAGUGGAACUUCUGGUGGAGCGGUGAAAUGCGUAGAUAUCAGAAGGAACGCCGGCGGCGAAAGCGACUCUCUGGUCCGAAACUGACGCUGAGUGUGCGAAAGCUAGGGGAGCAAACGGGAUUAGAUACCCCGGUAGUCCUAGCCGUAAACGAUGGGCACUAAGUAGAGGGGUUUU